UUUGUCGUUUAAUGAGAUCUAAUAUAUCUUGUUAGUGGUGAGAAUUUUCGCGUGAUUAAAUACAUAGAUCCGGCUAUUAUCCCCAUGUACUUUAAUGGUCCAGUGGCAGAACUUUUGCCAAGCGUGUCAGAGGUUCUGGGCUCUAAUCCGCACUAAGAAUUUUUUUUCCUCAUCAAAACCGAUUGUUUAUUAGUGGUUGUAUAUCAAGCAGGGACACGCUUUUUUGUGCAUUAGGUUUUGUGAUUUCACCGUAACAAAUAUAGAGAGUCUCUCCGCAACGGAUUGAAGCGCGCGUCCGUGUGAAGACUGUGUGCGUCACAACAGAACACUGUAUCCGCGCCACUGAUCGCAGCGGCAACGAGCACUUUGGUCACUUAAUUUCAAAAACAA
Molecule: long non-coding RNA, 390 nt
Organism: Rhinichthys klamathensis goyatoka
Lineage: Eukaryota; Metazoa; Chordata; Actinopteri; Cypriniformes; Leuciscidae
Exons: 2
Source: RefSeq, a predicted model, not a curated record